AUGAUUUCGAUGAAGGCGAUAUCUCUUUUGAUACUCCCUUUGUACACAUUGAAUGGAGCUGAAUCAAUAACAGAGAACAGAAAAAAAGUACACAAGCAGGCGACAUCACUCGCAGAACAGAAUACCAAAGAGGAAAACAACGAAGCGAUUAGAUCAGCCUGGUUUACAUUAUUCAAAAACCCAAGGUACGAAAAUGCAGAAAGGGUUGAAACUUAUUUGAGCGGAACAGGGCUGGAAAAUGCGGACGACAUUGAAAAGAAAAUGACAGAGGAGAACGAAAAAGUGAUUUUUCCGAGGCAAAUACUCGUUGAAACAUCUGGAUUGAAGAAACUACAUUUGGAUACGCGUGGAUUUAGGGCGCCAGAUUUACAUGACCGAAGACAAAAGACCUUGUUACAAGAGGAUAAAUAUGAUUAUGACGCGCCCGACACCAGACGCUACCCCGAUGACAGAGGCAUGACUUUCUACUCCGGUCGCACGACAUCCAGAUAUUUUCCCGAUUUCGAACAGGAUCGUUGAUGUGUUUAAAGAAUCCAUUCGUAUAAGAACCCAUGCAAUUUCAAAAACUGUAGAAAAAUAACUAGAGCCUAGUAAUAGACUGUUGAAUUAUAAAUAGAAGCAGUAGUUUAUAAAAUUGAUUUGACUCUAAAACUCAAAAGAAGAAACCAAGUAACAUAAAUGUACCUCGAAUAGAAUAUAUAAGUAUAGGAUCAAUAUGACCCCCUAUAAAAUAAUCCAGAUAAGGUUUAUAGAUAUUCCAAUACUAAACACUUUAAUCUUAUUGAUAUCAGGGUUUUUUGUUACAUGAGCACAUUACGAGUUAACAAUAAAUAGGUUUAAAAAUGUUAAAUCUGGAUUAGUUAUAUCUAUUUUAUUAGGGUUUUACUUUCUGAUAAUUCAAAGAUAUGAAUAUCUAAACUCUAAUUUUAGAUUUAAUGAUAGAGUAUUUGGAAAUUCUUUUUCAUUUUAACAGGAUUUCAUGGUUUACAUGUAAUAAUUGGUUUAAUCUUUCUCAGUUUUUUAAUGAUUCAACUAGUUAAAAAAGGAUUUAGAUUGAUAAAUUUUCAUGGGUAUGAUGGUAAUUUAUCGGAAUAAUAAUAAAAAAAACCUGGUUAUUUAUGUUCUUUCACCUGUUAUUCCAUGGAUUCGCUACGUGCGCGAGCUUUGCUAUGGAAUUUUCUUUUAUGUCUUAAUGGGUGGUAUACAAGGUUUAAUUUUAGUAUAGUUACGUGAAGGCAUUGCCCUCGUGUUAUCUUAUGUCUGUCCAUCACAUCACAUCUUUCUCCCCAUUCCUAUAGUUUACAGUCAAGAUCAAUGCUGAUAGUAUUAUCAGUUCUGUGCAACAUGAAUUGUUUCAAACUUACAAGUUCAAUCUCUCAUCACCCCUCAGAGCUUCAGCUUUUCCUAGUUUUUCAGUGAUUUCCGCUCACGAUCUCUCAGAGUCCAGGUGCAUGUGACUGACCAACUGUCUCUUUGAUCCAACUGAGCGCACCGAACACGGUGCUCGUGGCGGUCGACGCGCGGCGUGAAUAACGCAUAUUGGCGCCUGCAAGACUACAAAAAUACUUCACGCAUUGCGCGUUCACUACGGCGCGCGCCUUAAUCGUUAAAAUCGUUAUUGUUCAUGCCGGACCCAACACGGACCACAGAGCCACCGUCCGAAGUAAAAACGCUGUAUCUUUAUUCAACAUGU
This 1693-nucleotide long non-coding RNA is filed under the name Bemisia tabaci. RNAcentral's name for it is "lncRNA ENSSSA1UGG006460". The record is from RNAcentral. Lineage: Eukaryota; Metazoa; Arthropoda; Insecta; Hemiptera; Aleyrodidae.